AAACCAUGAUUAGGACAUUUUCUCAACAGCACCUGGAAACGCUCCUAAGCUUCAUAAAAGGCUUCAUCGGCACCUUGUCGGAAUGUUGAUAUUUCGAACUUUGCAU
This 106-nucleotide small nucleolar RNA is filed under the name Lupinus albus (white lupine). RNAcentral's name for it is "Plant small nucleolar RNA R71". It matches the Rfam family "Plant small nucleolar RNA R71". Rfam says of the family: R71 is a member of the C/D box family of snoRNAs containing the C (UGAUGA) and D (CUGA) box motifs. The record is from Rfam by way of RNAcentral. Lineage: Eukaryota; Viridiplantae; Streptophyta; Magnoliopsida; Fabales; Fabaceae.